CGCCAAGGUGAUUCCCUCUUCAAGGAGCUAACUAGUGCCGCUCUCAGGAACAUGGCAACUUGGAAGAAAACCUGGCAUGCCUGAAGUCAUUGCAGAACAAGGGAUGCUUAUUUGCUUUGCCUACCUUUGACUGCCUACAUAU
Molecule: small nucleolar RNA, 142 nt
Filed under: Neotoma lepida (desert woodrat)
Lineage: Eukaryota; Metazoa; Chordata; Mammalia; Rodentia; Cricetidae
Description: Small nucleolar RNA SNORA67
Rfam family: Small nucleolar RNA SNORA67
About the family: U67 belongs to the H/ACA class of snoRNAs which are thought to guide the sites of modification of uridines to pseudouridines.
Source: Rfam by way of RNAcentral